This 253-nucleotide ribosomal RNA is filed under the name uncultured bacterium. RNAcentral's name for it is "partial 16S ribosomal RNA". It matches the Rfam family "Bacterial small subunit ribosomal RNA", at positions 524 to 776 of the family's 1533-position model. The record is from RNAcentral.
UACAGAGGGUGCGAGCGUUAAUCGGAAUUACUGGGCGUAAAGCGCGCGUAGGCGGCUUUGCAAGUCGGGUGUGAAAUCCCCAAGCUUAACCUGGGAACUGCAUUCGAGACUGCAUUGCUAGAGUAUGGGAGAGGGAAGUGGAAUUUCCGGUGUAGCGGUGAAAUGCGUAGAUAUCGGAAGGAACAUCAGUGGCGAAGGCAGCUCGCUGGGACGUUACUGACGCUGAGACGCGAAAGCGUGGGGAGCAAACAGG